UACAGAGGUCCCAAGCGUUGUUCGGAUUCAUUGGGCGUAAGGGGUGCGUAGGCGGCGCGGUAAGUCGGGUGUGAAAUCUCGGAGCUUAACUCCGAAACUGCAUUCGAUACUGCCGUGCUUGAGGACUGGAGAGGAGACUGGAAUUUACGGUGUAGCGGUGAAAUGCGUAGAUAUCGUAAGGAAGACCAGUGGCGAAGGCGGGUCUCUGGACAGUUCCUGACGCUGAGGCACGAAGGUCAGGGGAGCAAACGGG
RNAcentral lists this ribosomal RNA (253 nucleotides) under uncultured bacterium. Its description in RNAcentral is "partial 16S ribosomal RNA". It matches the Rfam family "Bacterial small subunit ribosomal RNA", at positions 524 to 776 of the family's 1533-position model. The record is from RNAcentral.